CGGUAGCUGUGUCAGUGACAGAUUGACCGCCAGGUUGAACUGAUCCUUCCGCGUAACACUUGCCGAAGCCUUAGCAGCCCGAAAGGGUGCAACCCCAACGACUAUAAUCUUCGAGGGUUGCUGAAAUGCUAGUCUGCUUUACGCAGGCAACACUAUCAAAUUGCGGGAACACCCUAAAGACCUCAACACCAAGCGUUGAUGGGAAACCAUUGCGUGGCCGAGCUAAUAGCCCUGGGUAUGGUAACAGCUUGAGGUAUGAAGUCCCUGUUAUAGGGAUGGAAAUGGGCAAUCCGCAGCCAAGUCCUAAAGCCCUUAGAGGUCAUGGAUGCUGUUCACAGGCCAAAUGGUAGUGGGUGAUCCCCCAACUUGGGGGAUUGCUUAAGAUAUGGUCGGGCCCCUUUAGAAAUAUUGGGGGUAAGUUUACGCUUAACCAAACCGUUCCGUAGGUGAACCUGCGGAAGGAUCAUUAUCGAUUUCGGUUUACACCGUUUUCUACCUUUGUCUAUGCGUACCACACGUUUCCUCGGGGGGCUUGCCCCCCGUUAGGACAUUUUAUCAACCUUUUUGUAAUAGCAGUCAGCGUCUGAAAUAAUUUAAUUAUUAAAACUUUCAACAACGGAUCUCUGGGUUCUGGCAUCGAUGAAGAACGCAGCGAAAUGCGAUAAGUAGUGUGAAUUGCAGAAUUCAGUGAAUCAUCGAAUCUUUGAACGCACAUCGCGCCCCUUGGGUAUUCCAUGGGGCAUGCCUGUUCGAGCGUCAUUUGAACCCUCAAGCUGUGCUUGGUGUUGGGGUGUUUGUCCUGCCAUUGCGUGUAGACUCGCCUUAAAGUAAUUGGCAGCCUGGUAAUUCGGCUGUGAGCGCAGCACAUCGCGUACUCUUGGCUGGUGCUUUUGUCAUCCAAAGCCCUUUUUUUACUCUGGCCUCCGAUCACGUAGGGAUACCCGCUGACUAUGCUAAU
RNAcentral lists this ribosomal RNA (958 nucleotides) under Rhizopycnis sp. Z33. Its description in RNAcentral is "eukaryotic LSU rRNA". The stretch from base 605 to 759 matches the Rfam family "5.8S ribosomal RNA". Lineage: Eukaryota; Fungi; Ascomycota; Dothideomycetes; Pleosporales; Morosphaeriaceae. The record is from RNAcentral.